GAUGAACGCUGGCGGCGUGCCUAAUACAUGCAAGUCGAGCGAACAGACGAGGAGCUUGCUCCUCUGACGUUAGCGGCGGACGGGUGAGUAACACGUGGAUAACCUACCUAUAAGACUGGGAUAACUUCGGGAAACCGGAGCUAAUACCGGAUAAUAUAUUGAACCGCAUGGUUCAAUAGUGAAAGACGGUUUUGCUGUCACUUAUAGAUGGAUCCGCGCCGCAUUAGCUAGUUGGUAAGGUAAAGGCUUACCAAGGCGACGAUGCGUAGCCGACCUGAGAAGGUGAUCGGCCACACUGGAACUGAGACACGGUCCAGACUCCUACGGGAGGCAGCAGUAGGGAAUCUUCCGCAAUGGGCGAAAGCCUGACGGAGCAACGCCGCGUGAGUGAUGAAGGUCUUCGGAUCGUAAAACUCUGUUAUUAGGGAAGAACAAAUGUGUAAGUAACUAUGCACGUCUUGACGGUACCUAAUCAGAAAGCCACGGCUAACUACGUG
This 497-nucleotide ribosomal RNA is filed under the name uncultured bacterium. RNAcentral's name for it is "partial 16S ribosomal RNA". It matches the Rfam family "Bacterial small subunit ribosomal RNA", at positions 28 to 507 of the family's 1533-position model. The record is from RNAcentral.